RNAcentral lists this ribosomal RNA (433 nucleotides) under uncultured bacterium. RNAcentral describes it as "partial 16S ribosomal RNA". It matches the Rfam family "Bacterial small subunit ribosomal RNA", at positions 29 to 507 of the family's 1533-position model. The record is from RNAcentral.
AACGAACGCUGGCGGCAUGCCUAACACAUGCCAGUCGAACGAGACCUUCGGGUCUAGUGGCGCACGGGUGCGUAACGCGUGGGAACCUGCCCUUAGGUUCGGAAUAACUCCCCGAAAGGGGUGCUAAUACCGGAUAAUGUCUUCGGACCAAAGAUUUAUCGCCUUUGGAUGGGCCCGCGUUGGAUUAGCUAGUUGGUAGGGUAAAAGCCUACCAAGGCGACGAUCCAUAGCUGGUCUGAGAGGAUGAUCAGCCACACUGGGACUGAGACACGGCCCAGACUCCUACGGGAGGCAGAAGUGGGGAAUAUUGGACAAUGGGCGAAAGCCUGAUCCAGCAAUGCCGCGUGAGUGAUGAAGGCCUUAGGGUUGUAAAGCUCUUUUACCCGGGAUGAUAAUGACAGUACCGGGAGAAUAAGCUCCGGCUAACUCCGUG